Molecule: ribosomal RNA, 459 nt
Filed under: uncultured bacterium
Lineage: Bacteria
Description: partial 16S ribosomal RNA
Rfam family: Bacterial small subunit ribosomal RNA
Source: RNAcentral
CCUACGGGAGGCAGCAGUGAGGAAUAUUGGUCAAUGGGCGGGAGCCUGAACCAGCCAAGCCGCGUGAGGGAAGAAGGUACAGCGUAUCGUAACCCUCUUUUGUCAGGGAACUAAUGCGGGUACUAGUCCCCGGAUGAGGGUACCUGCAGAAAAAGCAUCGCCAAGCUCCUUGCCAGCAGCCGCGGUAAUACGGAGUACGCGAGGGUUAUCCGGGUUUAUUGGGGUAAAGGGGUGAGAAGUCGGCCUUUUAAGUCAGAGGGAAAAGCCCGGGGUUCAACCCCUGCGAGCCGUUGAAACUGGCAAACUGGAGUGUGUGAGAGGAUAGUGGAAUUCCAGGUGUAGGAGUGAAAUCCGUAGAUAUCUGGAGGAACAUCAGUGGCGAAGGCGACUAUCUGGCACAUAACUGACGCUGAGGAGCGAAAGCGUGGGUAGCAAACAGGAUUAGAUACCCUUGUAGUC